UCAACAAACGUGAGAAUAUCUGACUAAUAAUAUAACUAUCACAAUAUAUUUUCAUUAAGUUUUCUGCUUUCAUUGGAGAUAUAUGGAGUGGAACGUACAAUUCAGCAAAUUGAAGGCUGUGGAAGGACUAUUCCUUGCAACUUUAAGUGUAGCAGAAUCACUACCCCAUGAGAAGGGAUUCCAUCAGAAAAAUCCAGUAUCCAAUAAAGUUGCAGAUUUUUAGCCCAAUUUCUUAUGAUUUGUACUUGUAUCAUGCGCUUGAGAGAUGUAUGAGUUCAAGUGGAUUAUGAUGAAGACAGCUCUUCACGCUUAAUAGACAUUACCUUGUUAUGCUUAUGAAUUUGCAUAAAAGGAUGGGUUCUUAU
Molecule: unclassified non-coding RNA, 365 nt
Filed under: Hevea brasiliensis (rubber tree)
Lineage: Eukaryota; Viridiplantae; Streptophyta; Magnoliopsida; Malpighiales; Euphorbiaceae
Source: RNAcentral